CUUUUCCAUCUUCAGAAGUCUUGGCUUUAGUUUUCAUGGAGUUGCUGUCCUGCAGACAGUCUCUGAACACCAUGUGUAUUUUCUCCAUAAAUAGGGUGUCAUGUUGAUAAACACAGUUUGAUCUCCCAGUUGGAGCAAGAAGACAAGACGGUGACAGAGGAGAGAGGAAUCCUUCCCAGCACCUGUCCAGAUUUGGAUACUGUACUUAAAACCAAAUGGCUGACUCCUAAGAAGCAUGUUUUUAGAAAAGAACAGACUAAAAGUAUAAAAAUGGUAAGACAAUGGAUGAUUUCUGGUUUUCCAUAGUAGGAAGAAAUCCCAUCCUAGAAAAGAAAUAACCCAGACAUUCAUUGUGGAAAGUGUCAUUUACACUUGAGAAAAUGGUGUCCCUAGAGAGAUACUGCAAAAUUGCUGUGACUUUGGAGAAAAGUGUAAGUUAACUUCUAACUUGUUUCUUCACCGAGUGUUCUCACAAAUAAUUAUUUCAUUAAAUGUGACUCAAGUUUUGUGCAUUUGAAACAUAAA
Ictidomys tridecemlineatus (thirteen-lined ground squirrel) is the source of this 525-nucleotide non-coding RNA. NCBI's taxonomy places the organism in Eukaryota, Metazoa, Chordata, Mammalia, Rodentia, Sciuridae. The record is from RefSeq and is a predicted model, not a curated record.